Molecule: ribosomal RNA, 253 nt
Filed under: uncultured bacterium
Lineage: Bacteria
Description: partial 16S ribosomal RNA
Rfam family: Bacterial small subunit ribosomal RNA
Source: RNAcentral
UACGUAGGUGGCAAGCGUUGUCCGGAUUUACUGGGCGUAAAGAGCUCGUAGGCGGUUUGUCGCGUCGGCCGUGAAAACUUGGGGCUUAACUCCAAGCUUGCGGUCGAUACGGGCAGACUUGAGUUCGGCAGGGGAGACUGGAAUUCCUGGUGUAGCGGUGAAAUGCGCAGAUAUCAGGAGGAACACCGAUGGCGAAGGCAGGUCUCUGGGCCGAUACUGACGCUGAGGAGCGAAAGCGUGGGGAGCGAACAGG